UUAAGCGACUGCGGACGACAUUAUCGAGUUUUGAAUGGGUUGUCUGCUGGCUCGCAAGGGCAUGUGCACGCCUGUCUCAUCCACUCUCAACUUCUGUGCACUUUUCAUAGGCCGGCUUGUGGGUGCGUUCGCGCACUUGUAGGUGUCGGGCUUAUGCUUUACUACAAACGAUUCAGUUUUAGAAUGUCAUACUUUGCUAUAACGCAAUUAUAUACAACUUUCAGCAACGGAUCUCUUGGCUCUCGCAUCGAUGAAGAACGCAGCGAAAUGCGAUAAGUAAUGUGAAUUGCAGAAUUCAGUGAAUCAUCGAAUCUUUGAACGCACCUUGCGCUCCUUGGUAUUCCGAGGAGCAUGCCUGUUUGAGUCUCAUGGAAUUCUCAACCUUCAGCUUUAUUGAUGAAGGCUUGGACUUGGAGGUCGUGCCGGCUCUCGAAGUCGGCUCCUCUGAAAUGCAUUAGUGCGAACGUUACCAGCCGCUUCAGCGUGAUAAUUAUCUGCGUUGCUGUGGAGGGUAUUCUAGUGUUCACGCUUCUAACCGUCUUCGGACAAAUUUCUGAACUCUGAGCUCAAAUCAGGUAGGACUACCCGCUGAACUUAAGCAUACUAA
This 607-nucleotide ribosomal RNA is filed under the name Bjerkandera adusta. Its description in RNAcentral is "eukaryotic LSU rRNA". The stretch from base 216 to 369 matches the Rfam family "5.8S ribosomal RNA". The record is from RNAcentral. Lineage: Eukaryota; Fungi; Basidiomycota; Agaricomycetes; Polyporales; Phanerochaetaceae.